Molecule: non-coding RNA, 870 nt
Filed under: Cancer pagurus (edible crab)
Lineage: Eukaryota; Metazoa; Arthropoda; Malacostraca; Decapoda; Cancridae
Source: RNAcentral
UAAAAGUUUGAUUCUUUCUUUUGUUUCCAUAAGGCUAUUAAAUUUGUAUGAGAAUUGAGGUAUGUAUUUAAAACUCAUUUAAGAUGGGUUUAAAUAAAAUAAAAAUAUAUUGUUUUUAUAAAUAAAGAUGUUUAUUUAUUAGAGAAGUUUAUUUUAAAAUCUCAGCAUAAAAUAUUAAAAAUUAUGUAUUAAAAUAUGAUUUAGUAAUAGUUUUGAAAUCUGACAAAAUAUUGUGCCAGCAGUCGCGGUUAAACUUUAAGAUUAAGUGGAAAUAUAUUGGAUUUAGUUAGGUGAGAAAAUUUAAAGUAAUAAAUUUUAAAUUUCAAAAAACAAAAAGGUGAAAUUGAAUUUGUUUUAUUGAAGGGAUGGAUAAGUAUACUUUUGCUGAAGCUAAUAAAAUUUAGGUUUAAACUAGGAUUAGAUACCCUAUUAUUCUAAAUAUAAAAAGUGUUGCCAUAAUAUUAAUAGCUAUAGACUUUAAAUUUGAAGAAUUUGGCGGUGGUUUAAUCUUAUCAGAGGAACCUGCUUUUUAAUCGAUAAUCCCCGAAAAAUCUUACUCGUUUUGGUCAUAGUUUGUAUACCAUCAUUAACAGAUAAUUUUUAAAAAAUAAAUUAUUAUAAUUAUAAUUUCUAAAUUAUAAUAAAAUUAGAUCAAGGUGCAGCUAAUAAAUGAGUUAAAGUGGGUUACAAUAAAUUUUAUUUAUAACGGAAGAACAGCAGUAAAAGUUGUUUGAAGGAGGAUUUGAUUGUAAUUGGAGAGUUUAAUAUGCUUAAGAGAUAUAAGUUCUAAAUCAUGUACAUAUCGCCCGUCGCUUUCAUUUAUAAAUGAGAUAAGUCGUAACAUAGUAGGUUUACUGGAAAGUGAAUCUA